AAAAAAUCUAAGACAUGAUCAAUGGACUGGAAUAUGCCCCAUUCCAGAUUUGCACUGCAAUACAAAAAUGAUUCAAUUCACUAUCCUGAAUUCUCCAUGAGAUAUUGUUUGCUGCAUUGCAACUUACAAGUGUCAUCUGAUAUGGUGACUAUAACUUUUAUGCAUUCUCAGAAUUUUCACUAAUAUAAACAAAUGAAAAACAACAAUAUAAAAAAUU
This 217-nucleotide unclassified non-coding RNA is filed under the name Hevea brasiliensis (rubber tree). The record is from RNAcentral. Lineage: Eukaryota; Viridiplantae; Streptophyta; Magnoliopsida; Malpighiales; Euphorbiaceae.